Molecule: ribosomal RNA, 253 nt
Filed under: uncultured bacterium
Lineage: Bacteria
Description: partial 16S ribosomal RNA
Rfam family: Bacterial small subunit ribosomal RNA
Source: RNAcentral
UACGUAGGGGGCGAGCGUUGUCCGGAGUUACUGGGCGUAAAGCGCACGCAGGCGGUCUGCUAAGUUUGGAGUGACAGUUGGUGGCUUAACUGCCAAAGUGCUUCGAAAACUGACAGACUUGAGGGCUUCAGAGGGACACGGAAUUCCGGGUGGAGUGGUGAAAUGCGUAGAGAUCCGGAGGAACACCAAAGGCGAAGGCAGUGUCCUGGGGAGUACCUGACGCUCAGGUGCGAAAGCGUGGGGAGCGAACAGG